This 510-nucleotide ribosomal RNA is filed under the name uncultured bacterium. Its description in RNAcentral is "bacterial SSU rRNA". It matches the Rfam family "Bacterial small subunit ribosomal RNA", at positions 29 to 519 of the family's 1533-position model. The record is from RNAcentral.
AAUCAACGCUGGCGGCGUGCCUAAUAUAUGCAAGUCGAACGCGAAAGUCCCGCAAGGGAUGAGUAGAGUGGCAAACGGGUGAGUAACACGUGGGUGACCUGCCUUCGAGUGGGGGAUAACGUCCCGAAAGGGACGCUAAUACCGCAUGACAUCCUGCCUUUUAAGAGGCGGCGAUCAAAGCUGGGGAUCGCAAGACCUAGCGCUUGAAGAGGGGCCCGCGUCCGAUUAGCUAGUGGUGGGGUAAUGGCUCACCAAGGCAACGAUCGGUAGCCGGCCUGGGAGGGCGGACGGCCACACUGGGACUGAGACACGGCCCAGACUCCUACGGGAGGCAGCAGUAGGGAAUUGUUCGCAAUGGGCGCAAGCCUGACGACGCAACGCCGCGUGGAGGAUGAAGAUCUUCGGGUCGUAAACUCCUUUCGAUCGAGACGAAUGGCCUCCGGGUGAACAAUCCGGAGGAGUGACGGUACCGAGAGAAGAAGCCCGGCUAACUCCGUGCCAGCAGCCGCU